GACAGAGGCCUCGAGCGUUAGGCGGAAUCACUGGGCUUAAAGCGUGUGUAGGCGGAUCGUUAAGUGCCUUGUGAAAUCCCACGGCUUAACUGUGGAACGGCUGGGCAUACUGGCGGUCUUGAGCCAUCUAGGGGCGACUGGAACAAACGGUGGAGCGGUGAAAUGCGUAGAUAUCGGAAGGAACGCCGGUGGCGAAAGCGGCGUGCUGGGCACCUCCUGACGCUGAGGCGCGAAAGCCAGGGGAGCGAACGGG
Molecule: ribosomal RNA, 253 nt
Filed under: uncultured bacterium
Lineage: Bacteria
Description: partial 16S ribosomal RNA
Rfam family: Bacterial small subunit ribosomal RNA
Source: RNAcentral